UGGGGAAUAUUGCACAAUGGGCGAAAGCCUGAUGCAGCAACGCCGCGUGAACGAAGAAGGCUCUUGGGUCGUAAAGUUCUGUUCUGAGGGAAGAAGAAAGUGACGGUACCUCAGGAGAAAGCCCCGGCUAACUACGUGCCAGCAGCCGCGGUAAUACGUAGGGGGCAAGCGUUGUCCGGAAUUAUUGGGCGUAAAGAGUACGUAGGCGGUCUGUUAAGCGCAAGGUGAAAGGCAUAGGCUCAACCAAUGUGAGCCUUGCGAACUGGCAGACUUGAGUGCAGGAGAGGAAAGCGGAAUUCCUAG
RNAcentral lists this ribosomal RNA (303 nucleotides) under uncultured bacterium. Its description in RNAcentral is "bacterial SSU rRNA". It matches the Rfam family "Bacterial small subunit ribosomal RNA", at positions 355 to 673 of the family's 1533-position model. The record is from RNAcentral.